This 253-nucleotide ribosomal RNA is filed under the name uncultured bacterium. RNAcentral describes it as "partial 16S ribosomal RNA". It matches the Rfam family "Bacterial small subunit ribosomal RNA", at positions 524 to 776 of the family's 1533-position model. The record is from RNAcentral.
UACGAAGGGGGCUAGCGUUGCUCGGAAUCACUGGGCGUAAAGCGCACGUAGGCGGAUUGCUAAGUCAGGGGUGAAAUCCUGGAGCUCAACUCCAGAACUGCCCUUGAUACUGGCGGUCUCGAGUCCGGGAGAGGUGAGUGGAACUGCGAGUGUAGAGGUGAAAUUCGUAGAUAUUCGCAAGAACACCAGUGGCGAAGGCGGCUCACUGGCCCGGUACUGAUGCUGAGGUGCGAAAGCGUGGGGAGCAAACAGG